UGUGUGUUAGUGGAAGCGUCUGGAAAGGCGCGCGAUACAGGGUGACAGCCCCGUACACAAAAAUGCACAUAUUGUGAGCUCGAUGAGUAGGGCGGGACACGUGGUAUCCUGUCUGAAUAUGGGGGGACCAUCCUCCAAGGCUAAAUACUCCUGACUGACCGAUAGUGAACCAGUACCGUGAGGGAAAGGCGAAAAGAACCCCGGCGAGGGGAGUGAAAAAGAACCUGAAACCGUGUACGUACAAGCAGUGGGAGCACGCUUAGGCGUGUGACUGCGUACCUUUUGUAUAAUGGGUCAGCGACUUAUAUUCUGUAGCAAGGUUAACCGAAUAGGGGAGCCGAAGGGAAACCGAGUCUUAACUGGGCGUUAAGUUGCAGGGUAUAGACCCGAAACCCGGUGAUCUAGCCAUGGGCAGGUUGAAGGUUGGGUAACACUAACUGGAGGACCGAACCGACUAAUGUUGAAAAAUUAGCGGAUGACUUGUGGCUGGGGGUGAAAGGCCAAUCAAACCGGGAGAUAGCUGGUUCUCCCCGAAAGCUAUUUAGGUAGCGCCUCGUGAAUUCAUCUCCGGGGGUAGAGCACUGUUUCGGCAAGGGGGUCAUCCCGACUUACCAACCCGAUGCAAACUGCGAAUACCGGAGAAUGUUAUCACGGGAGACACACGGCGGGUGCUAACGUCCGUCGUGAAGAGGGAAACAACCCAGACCGCCAGCUAAGGUCCCAAAGUCAUGGUUAAGUGGGAAACGAUGUGGGAAGGCCCAGACAGCCAGGAUGUUGGCUUAGAAGCAGCCAUCAUUUAAAGAAAGCGUAAUAGCUCACUGGUCGAGUCGGCCUGCGCGGAAGAUGUAACGGGGCUAAACCAUGCACCGAAGCUGCGGCAGCGACGCUUAUGCGUUGUUGGGUAGGGGAGCGUUCUGUAAGCCUGUGAAGGUGUGCUGUGAGGCAUGCUGGAGGUAUCAGAAGUGCGAAUGCUGACAUAAGUAACGAUAAAGCGGGUGAAAAGCCCGCUCGCCGGAAGACCAAGGGUUCCUGUCCAACGUUAAUCGGGGCAGGGUGAGUCGACCCCUAAGGCGAGGCCGAAAGGCGUAGUCGAUGGGAAACAGGUUAAUAUUCCUGUACUUGGUGUUACUGCGAAGGGGGGACGGAGAAGGCUAUGUUGGCCGGGCGACGGUUGUCCCGGUUUAAGCGUGUAGGCUGGUUUUCCAGGCAAAUCCGGAAAAUCAAGGCUGAGGCGUGAUGACGAGGCACUACGGUGCUGAAGCAACAAAUGCCCUGCUUCCAGGAAAAGCCUCUAAGCAUCAGGUAACAUCAAAUCGUACCCCAAACCGACACAGGUGGUCAGGUAGAGAAUACCAAGGCGCUUGAGAGAACUCGGGUGAAGGAACUAGGCAAAAUGGUGCCGUAACUUCGGGAGAAGGCACGCUGAUAUGUAGGUGAAGCGACUUGCUCGUGGAGCUGAAAUCAGUCGAAGAUACCAGCUGGCUGCAACUGUUUAUUAAAAACACAGCACUGUGCAAACACGAAAGUGGACGUAUACGGUGUGACGCCUGCCCGGUGCCGGAAGGUUAAUUGAUGGGGUCAGCGCAAGCGAAGCUCUUGAUCGAAGCCCCGGUAAACGGCGGCCGUAACUAUAACGGUCCUAAGGUAGCGAAAUUCCUUGUCGGGUAAGUUCCGACCUGCACGAAUGGCGUAAUGAUGGCCAGGCUGUCUCCACCCGAGACUCAGUGAAAUUGAACUCGCUGUGAAGAUGCAGUGUACCCGCGGCAAGACGGAAAGACCCCGUGAACCUUUACUAUAGCUUGACACUGAACAUUGAGCCUUGAUGUGUAGGAUAGGUGGGAGGCUUAGAAGUGUGGACGCCAGUCUGCAUGGAGCCGACCUUGAAAUACCACCCUUUAAUGUUUGAUGUUCUAACGUUGACCCGUAAUCCGGGUUGCGGACAGUGUCUGGUGGGUAGUUUGACUGGGGCGGUCUCCUCCUAAAGAGUAACGGAGGAGCACGAAGGUUGGCUAAUCCUGGUCGGACAUCAGGAGGUUAGUGCAAUGGCAUAAGCCAGCUUGACUGCGAGCGUGACGGCGCGAGCAGGUGCGAAAGCAGGUCAUAGUGAUCCGGUGGUUCUGAAUGGAAGGGCCAUCGCUCAACGGAUAAAAGGUACUCCGGGGAUAACAGGCUGAUACCGCCCAAGAGUUCAUAUCGACGGCGGUGUUUGGCACCUCGAUGUCGGCUCAUCACAUCCUGGGGCUGAAGUAGGUCCCAAGGGUAUGGCUGUUCGCCAUUUAAAGUGGUACGCGAGCUGGGUUUAGAACGUCGUGAGACAGUUCGGUCCCUAUCUGCCGU
This 2337-nucleotide ribosomal RNA is filed under the name Escherichia coli. RNAcentral describes it as "partial 23S ribosomal RNA". It matches the Rfam family "Bacterial large subunit ribosomal RNA", at positions 323 to 2648 of the family's 2925-position model. Lineage: Bacteria; Pseudomonadati; Pseudomonadota; Gammaproteobacteria; Enterobacterales; Enterobacteriaceae. The record is from RNAcentral.